AACGAACGCUGGCGGCAUGCCUAACACAUGCAAGUCGAACGAGACCUUCGUGUCUAGUUGCUCACGCGUGCGUCACGCGUGGGAACCUGCCCGUAUGUUUGGAAUAACUCCCCGACAUGGGUGCUAAUACCGGGUAAUUUCUUCUGAUCCAAGAUUUAUCGUCCGUGGAUGGGCCCGCGUUGGAUUGGCUUGUUGGUAGUGUAAAAGCCUCUCAAGGCUACGCUCCAUAGCUGGGCUGAGAGGAUGAACAGCCACACUGAGACUGGGACACGGCCCAGAAUACUACGGGAGGGAGCAGAGGGUAAUAUUGGAAAAUGGCGGAAGGCAUGAAGCAGCAAUGCCGCGUGAGUGAUGAAGGCCGUAGGGUUGUAAAGCUCUUUUACCCGGGAUGAUAAUGACAGUACCGGGAGAAUAAGCUCCGGCUAACUCCGUG
This 433-nucleotide ribosomal RNA is filed under the name uncultured bacterium. RNAcentral's name for it is "partial 16S ribosomal RNA". It matches the Rfam family "Bacterial small subunit ribosomal RNA", at positions 29 to 507 of the family's 1533-position model. The record is from RNAcentral.